GGGACACGUGGUAUCCUGUCUGAAUAUGGGGGGACCAUCCUCCAAGGCUAAAUACUCCUGACUGACCGAUAGUGAACCAGUACCGUGAGGGAAAGGCGAAAAGAACCCCGGCGAGGGGAGUGAAAAAGAACCUGAAACCGUGUACGUACAAGCAGUGGGAGCACAGAGCAAUCUGUGUGACUGCGUACCUUUUGUAUAAUGGGUCAGCGACUUAUAUUCUGUAGCAAGGUUAACCGAAUAGGGGAGCCGAAGGGAAACCGAGUCUUAACUGGGCGUUAAGUUGCAGGGUAUAGACCCGAAACCCGGUGAUCUAGCCAUGGGCAGGUUGAAGGUUGGGUAACACUAACUGGAGGACCGAACCGACUAAUGUUGAAAAAUUAGCGGAUGACUUGUGGCUGGGGGUGAAAGGCCAAUCAAACCGGGAGAUAGCUGGUUCUCCCCGAAAGCUAUUUAGGUAGCGCCUCGUGAAUUCAUCUCCGGGGGUAGAGCACUGUUUCGGCAAGGGGGUCAUCCCGACUUACCAACCCGAUGCAAACUGCGAAUACCGGAGAAUGUUAUCACGGGAGACACACGGCGGGUGCUAACGUCCGUCGUGAAGAGGGAAACAACCCAGACCGCCAGCUAAGGUCCCAAAGUCAUGGUUAAGUGGGAAACGAUGUGGGAAGGCCCAGACAGCCAGGAUGUUGGCUUAGAAGCAGCCAUCAUUUAAAGAAAGCGUAAUAGCUCACUGGUCGAGUCGGCCUGCGCGGAAGAUGUAACGGGGCUAAACCAUGCACCGAAGCUGCGGCAGCGACGCUGAUGCGUUGUUGGGUAGGGGAGCGUUCUGUAAGCCUGCGAAGGUGUGCUGUGAGGCAUGCUGGAGGUAUCAGAAGUGCGAAUGCUGACAUAAGUAACGAUAAAGCGGGUGAAAAGCCCGCUCGCCGGAAGACCAAGGGUUCCUGUCCAACGUUAAUCGGGGCAGGGUGAGUCGACCCCUAAGGCGAGGCCGAAAGGCGUAGUCGAUGGGAAACAGGUUAAUAUUCCUGUACUUGGUGUUACUGCGAAGGGGGGACGGAGAAGGCUAUGUUGGCCGGGCGACGGUUGUCCCGGUUUAAGCGUGUAGGCUGGUUUUCCAGGCAAAUCCGGAAAACUAAGGCUGAGGCGUGAUGACGAGGCACUACGGUGCUGAAGCAACAAAUGCCCUGCUUCCAGGAAAAGCCUCUAAGCAUCAGGUAACAUCAAAUCGUACCCCAAACCGACACAGGUGGUCAGGUAGAGAAUACCAAGGCGCUUGAGAGAACUCGGGUGAAGGAACUAGGCAAAAUGGUGCCGUAACUUCGGGAGAAGGCACGCUGAUAUGUAGGUGAAGCGACUUGCUCGUGGAGCUGAAAUCAGUCGAAGAUACCAGCUGGCUGCAACUGUUUAUUAAAAACACAGCACUGUGCAAACACGAAAGUGGACGUAUACGGUGUGACGCCUGCCCGGUGCCGGAAGGUUAAUUGAUGGGGUCAGCGCAAGCGAAGCUCUUGAUCGAAGCCCCGGUAAACGGCGGCCGUAACUAUAACGGUCCUAAGGUAGCGAAAUUCCUUGUCGGGUAAGUUCCGACCUGCACGAAUGGCGUAAUGAUGGCCAGGCUGUCUCCACCCGAGACUCAGUGAAAUUGAACUCGCUGUGAAGAUGCAGUGUACCCGCGGCAAGACGGAAAGACCCCGUGAACCUUUACUAUAGCUUGACACUGAACAUUGAGCCUUGAUGUGUAGGAUAGGUGGGAGGCUUUGAAGUGUGGACGCCAGUCUGCAUGGAGCCGACCUUGAAAUACCACCCUUUAAUGUUU
Molecule: ribosomal RNA, 1813 nt
Filed under: Escherichia coli
Lineage: Bacteria; Pseudomonadati; Pseudomonadota; Gammaproteobacteria; Enterobacterales; Enterobacteriaceae
Description: partial 23S ribosomal RNA
Rfam family: Bacterial large subunit ribosomal RNA
Source: RNAcentral